This 291-nucleotide long non-coding RNA is filed under the name Brassica napus (rape). Its description in RNAcentral is "long non-coding RNA (BNAP_LNC022372)". Lineage: Eukaryota; Viridiplantae; Streptophyta; Magnoliopsida; Brassicales; Brassicaceae. The record is from RNAcentral.
AUUUUUUAUUCAUCAAAUUUAAAUGAAACAACCAUUGUUGAAUCCUCUAACCUCCUAGUUCUAGUUUAAGAAAAGAACCUAAAAACUAAAUAAGCAAUGACAGACUCAAUUUCACACAGACGGAACAUAUUAGAAAUAAAUUAUACUUAUUCGAGGUUCUAAGCCGUAUACGAGAAAUUUGGGAAUAGACCCUCACCUUAGAAAAAUGUAAAAGUAGUAGCUAUGAACUCCAGAUGCUCAAAUAGAAUCCAAAUCUAAAAUCAGGGCGAAAAAAAAAGAGCCAUAACGCCC